GUGGGUAGUUUGACUGGGGCGGUCUCCUCCUAAAGAGUAACGGAGGAGCACGAAGGUUGGCUAAUCCUGGUCGGACAUCAGGAGGUUAGUGCAAUGGCAUAAGCCAGCUUGACUGCGAGCGUGACGGCGCGAGCAGGUGCGAAAGCAGGUCAUAGUGAUCCGGUGGUUCUGAAUGGAAGGGCCAUCGCUCAACGGAUAAAAGGUACUCCGGGGAUAACAGGCUGAUACCGCCCAAGAGUUCAUAUCGACGGCGGUGUUUGGCACCUCGAUGUCGGCUCAUCACAUCCUGGGGCUGAAGUAGGUCCCAAGGGUAUGGCUGUUCGCCAUUUAAAGUGGUACGCGAGCUGGGUUUAGAACGUCGUGAGACAGUUCGGUCCCUAUCUGCCGUGGGCGCUGGAGAACUGAGGGGGGCUGCUCCUAGUACGAGAGGACCGGAGUGGACGCAUCACUGGUGUUCGGGUUGUCAUGCCAAUGGCACUGCCCGGUAGCUAAAUGCGGAAGAGAUAAGUGCUGAAAGCAUCUAAGCACGAAACUUGCCCCGAGAUGAGUUCUCCCUGAGACUUUAGGUCUCCUGAAGGAACGUUGAAGACGACGACGUUGAUAGGCCGGGUGUGUAAGCGCAGCGAUGCGUUGAGCUAACCGGUACUAAUGAACCGUGAGG
Molecule: ribosomal RNA, 661 nt
Filed under: Salmonella enterica subsp. enterica serovar Muenchen
Lineage: Bacteria; Pseudomonadati; Pseudomonadota; Gammaproteobacteria; Enterobacterales; Enterobacteriaceae
Also listed under: 4 other names
Description: partial 23S ribosomal RNA
Rfam family: Bacterial large subunit ribosomal RNA
Source: RNAcentral